RNAcentral lists this long non-coding RNA (842 nucleotides) under Homo sapiens (human). RNAcentral's name for it is "non-protein coding lnc-OC90-3:1". The record is from RNAcentral. Lineage: Eukaryota; Metazoa; Chordata; Mammalia; Primates; Hominidae.
AGAACCUGUGACUGCUCUAUCCUUCCAAGUUCUUCUGAGGAGAGAGAAUGAUUUAGGCAGGAAUUCAAUCAGGAUUUUCUUAUAGAGAGAUGAACUCCAAUUCAAUGUCUGCCUUACUAACUUCCCUUUUCUUUUAUCAUUUCACUCAGAUCAAUCUCAGUGAACAAGCUAAAGAAAACACAGAAGGAGCAUAGCUGCUUAAUGCCAUUUUCAGUAGUUUACAAAUAUCUCUUUAAGUGGUUUACAAAAAGAUGUCAAUUGAGUACCACCUUUUCCUACUGCCUUGGGAUUUGCUUUCUUUUAUGUAGCUUUUGUCUGGCUGGGGGAGAUGGGGAUUCUCCCUGAUGUUGGAUGAGAUUAGGCGCAGCAGAAAUCACCCUGGUUUAUUAAAUGGGAGACUUGAGAUCUAUUCCCUAAAUGAUCACUCUCCGGCCUUGUGGCAAGUCACCAGCCCUCUUGAGGCUUUGGUUUCCUUAUCUGAAAUGUAGUCACGAGAAACUAAGUCUUAGGGCUAUGUAAUUGUGCUUACUGACAAUGUAUUGCCUGCUUUGCAAUGUAUUGCUUGUGCCAGACACACAUUCUGCUAAACUCUUUUUAUUUAAAUCCUCAUGACAACCUGAUGAAAUGGUUAUUAUUAUUAUUUAUAAAACUCAAUUUUAUAGAUUAAGAAUUAGAGGAUCAGAGGAGUUAAAUAAUCACCCCAAGACAUAUAGUUAUCUGAAUGGAAUUCGCCCACUCCAACAUUGUUAUCACUGAGUUGUGGGAUUUACAGUUGAAACCACUGAGGUCAGAAUUUGGCCUCCACACAUAGUCAAGUACCAUAACCUCUCUAAGCCUCAGCU